RNAcentral lists this ribosomal RNA (820 nucleotides) under Roseibacillus ponti. RNAcentral describes it as "bacterial SSU rRNA". It matches the Rfam family "Bacterial small subunit ribosomal RNA", at positions 57 to 863 of the family's 1533-position model. Lineage: Bacteria; Pseudomonadati; Verrucomicrobiota; Verrucomicrobiia; Verrucomicrobiales; Verrucomicrobiaceae. The record is from RNAcentral.
GCAAGUCGAACGGGGAACUUUUUUAGCUUGCUUUAAAAGUUCCUAGUGGCGAACGGGUGAGUAACACGUGAGUUACCUGCCCUGAAGCGGGGGAUAGCCCGGGGAAACUCGGAUUAAUACCCUAUGUGAUCGCAAGAUUAAAGGCGGCUAUUUAUUUAGCUGUCGCUUCAGGAUGGGCUCGCGGCCUAUCAGCUAGUUGGCGGGGUAAAGGCCCACCAAGGCGAUGACGGGUAGCUGGUCUGAGAGGACGACCAGUCACACUGGAACUGAGACACGGUCCAGACACCUACGGGUGGCAGCAGUCGAGAAUCAUUCGCAAUGGACGAAAGUCUGACGGUGCGACGCCGCGUGGAGGAUGAAGGCCCUAGGGUCGUAAACUCCUGUCAUCAGGGAGUAAAAACUUACGUAGUAACUGACGUGGGUCUUGAUAGUACCUGAAGAGGAAGGGACGGCAAACUUCGUGCCAGCAGCCGCGGUAAUACGAAGGUCCCAAGCGUUGUUCGGAUUUACUGGGCGUAAAGAGUCUGUAGGCGGUAUGGUAAGUCAGAUGUGAAAUCCCGGGGCUCAACCCCGGAACUGCAUCCGAUACUGCCAUACUAGAGUAUUGGAGGGGAGUCUGGAAUUCUCGGUGUAGCAGUGAAAUGCGUAGAUAUCGAGAGGAACACUAGUGGCGAAGGCGAGACUCUGGACAAUAACUGACGCUGAGAGACGAAGGCCAGGGUAGCGAAAAGGAUUAGAUACCCUUGUAGUCCUGGCAGUAAACGGUGCACGCUUGGUGUGGGAAGGUUCGACCCUUUCCGUGCCGGAGCUAACGCGUUAA